CCAGACUCCUACGGGAGGCAGCAGUGGGGGAUAUUGCACAAUGGGGGAAACCCUGAUGCAGCGACGCCGCGUGUGGGAAGACGGUCCUCUGGAUUGUAAACCACUGUCCCCAGGGACGAAGAUGACGGUACCUGGGGAGGAAGCCCCGGCUAACUACGUGCCAGCAGCCGCGGUAAUACGUAGGGGGCGAGCGUUAUCCGGAUUCACUGGGUGUAAAGGGAGCGUAGACGGCCAAGCAAGCCAGGGGUGAAAGCCCGGGGCCCAACCCCGGGACUGCCCUUGGAACUGCGCGGCUGGAGUGCAGGAGGGGCAGGCGGAAUUCCUGGUGUAGCGGUGAAAUGCGUAGAUAUUAGGAGGAACACCAGUGGCGAAGGCGGCCUGCUGGACAUUAACUGACGCUGAGGCGCGAAAGCGUGGGGAGCAAACAGGAUUAGAUACCCUCGUA
Molecule: ribosomal RNA, 445 nt
Filed under: uncultured bacterium
Lineage: Bacteria
Description: partial 16S ribosomal RNA
Rfam family: Bacterial small subunit ribosomal RNA
Source: RNAcentral